This 2987-nucleotide long non-coding RNA is filed under the name Citrus maxima (pomelo). RNAcentral's name for it is "long non-coding RNA (CMAX_LNC000218)". The record is from RNAcentral. Lineage: Eukaryota; Viridiplantae; Streptophyta; Magnoliopsida; Sapindales; Rutaceae.
CUUUUUGACAUCUUCCUUCUUCACCGGCACCCCAUUCCUCUCUUCAUCGGCUAAACUUGGUGGACGUUCUGCCCCAAUCGUCACACCAAUCCUCAACACUUGCACAACCAACUUCUCAUUGCAAAACUGAUCUGCGAAAAAUGGCCAGGUGACCAUCGGCAAGCCAUUUGAAACCGCUUCUAGCACUGAAUUCCAGCCGCAAUGUGUUAAGAACCCUCCAAUUGCAGGGUGUGACAAUAUAACCACUUGAGGAGCCCAACCCCGGAUCAAAAGUCCUCUCCCUUCAAUCCUUUCCUCAAACUUUUCUGCCAAAAGCCAAUCCUCUAACCCUUUUGCUUGAUCUCCGGGUCUUAUAACCCAGAUGAAUGGCUUCUUUGUUGCUUCUAAGCCUAAACCAAGCUCUAUCAGCUGUGUGGUUGAAGAAUCACAAAGACUUCCAAGACAAACAUAGACUGCAGAGCCUGGUUGCCAUGAAUCAAGCCACUUUAAGCAACCAGAGCCAUCAUUGGAAGUCUUGUCACCUCUCUCAAGUUUAUCAAUGUCUUCCUUGUUGCACAAUGAAACAGGACCAACACACCAAACUUUUCCAUCUCUUGCAUUCUUGUAUUCUUCAACAUAAGCAGGCUCCAUCUCUUCAAAUGAAUUCACAAUGACCCCAUAGGAUGCCAUUUCAGCUGCCAAAAUUGGCUCACCAAAACUUUUCAGUUUCAGGAUUUCGGGUAGCUGAGCUUUAGUUAUUUCAACUCGAUCAGGCAAUCCAGGCACCAAAAAAUAUUCCGAAUCAGAAGAAACACUCUCAUGAGCCUUGGAAACACUCAAGCUGUGCAAACACAAAAGACAAAAGCAAGAAAAACCAUGGAAAACAAUCCUUGGAACAUUGAACUUGCAGGCAGAAGAAACUGUCCAAGGCAAACACACGUCGGAGAUUAAGCAGCUUGGCUUAGGUUGUAUCUCCUUGAACAAAGUUUCCAACGGCAAACGCAGCAUUUCAAUUGCAGCGAAGAACUUGGGGAGCAAGGCCAUCGAAGGAAGCUUGUCCCAACUCUCACAACCUUCAGGCAAUCCUACUUCUUGACAUGGAAAAUAAAACUCAAUGACUUGGAUACGUAACCCAGAUUGUAUCCCACGUUCUAUAACGUUUUGAAACCGGGCUGCAUUCAUUGGUGUGGUGACAAUGGUUACAAGUGCGCCAUGCUGUGCCAACAAUCUUGCAAUGUCUAUCAUGGGAAUCAUAUGGCCCUGAGCAAGAAAAGGAAAUAAGAUGAAGUGAAGCUGGCUACCAGCUUGGGAUGCCAUGGCAGAGUUUCUCUUCCCAGUGGGACUUUGCUCCUGCCUGUUGGUGAUGUUUAUAGAAUCAAUAAUGCCAGUUUUGGGAACUUAGAAUAAUGCAUUAUUAAAGAUGACUUAAGUGUGAGUGAUAAGGGUGGGGUGGUCCUGGUGGAGAUCGUCUUCACAUUGCUUCAGGAAAAUACUGUAUCUUUUUCUUCACAUGGCAGAGUUUUCUUUGUUUUCAACUCAAAAUUAGAAACAGACAGCUGCUAACGUAACCCCCACCACUUGAAGUGACAUUUGUCGAUUUCCAUAUAUAAAUUGAAACAAAUGUCCAUUUUCUAUGAUACUUCAUUGGUUAGUGGGAUUAAACGCCUUCCAGUCAUUUUGAGACGUAUUUCGCUGGAAGUGAAAGACCUCAUUCUUUUCUUUGCUGGACAGGUUGUUGUUUUUUGUUUGACGUCAAUCGUUUGGUUUAUUCGAGAGGCGAUAUUUUAAUUUUGAGAUGAAUGGGUCGUCUUCUUAUUUAAGUUUACGUUAGAGCUGUGUCGAGAACGGGGCUAUCACAGGUGGCAUCACGCGUCUAAAGACAUUUGUAACACCACAAACUUAACACGUGUAAGAAACGUGUCAAAUGGAAAGGCGACUAACUCAUUCACAAACUUUGGCACCAAACUCGUGCUCUGUAAUGAAAUUUCUCUUGAAAAUUCAAUUCAUUCUUGGGGUCUUAAAAUCAACAAACUACUAAAAAAAAUCCCUUGGAACGAAAUAAUCGAAGUCUUGAAACCAGAAAUUACAACUCAAAACCAAAAUAUAUUUACAUAAAAUUGGUAAUAUUCUACAUUGUAUUUUUCGUUCAUUCAUAUCACAGUCCAGAAUCAAAUUAUUUCGUGCAGCUAAAAUGGAUUUUCCGAAGGAAUAUAGAAAAAAAUUUUGAGCAGCAGGCAAAAGAAUGAAAUUUUGAGAGGGGUCAACAAUGAUGGCAUUCUGAAAAGUGAUUAUCAAGCUCUGAAAAUUAAAGAAGAGAACUAUAUCAAAGAUGAUCAACAUAAUCCAUCAUAUUUAAUAAAACUAGGAAAUUGAACUUGUGGAAUCCGAAUUAACAAUUAAAAUCAGAAACAAAUCACAGCAUCUAAAUGAAUUAAGGUUGUCUUUAGUACUAAAGUUGGAGAAGCUACAGCAUUAAUAUUCGAUAAAUAUUAGCUGUUAUUGCUUAAAAACUAAAUUGAUUUUUUAUCUCUCUUAUCUUGCGUAUGGACAUCACAUUUUUCAUUGCUCACCUUAUUUUGCUCGCUGCAUAAUAUCUUGGAUUAACAGUUUGAUGUUAAGGGAAGAAGAUCCCCCUUCUUCAAUUGCUCUCUUUGCCAUCUCCCCAUACUCUUUAGCCCUUCUUCUUCUCUCAUCUCCUUCUCCUCCUUCAUCCAUGAGCAUGUUAACAGCCUUUUCCACAGCUUCCUUCUUCACUUCAUCCGCUAAGUGUAGAGGGCGUUCCGCCCCAAUGCUCACACCAAUCCUCAACACUUGCACAACCAACUUCUCAUUGCAAAACUGAUCUGCGAAAAAUGGCCAGGUGACCAUCGGCAAGCCAUUUGAAACCGCUUCUAGCACUGAAUUCCAGCCGCAAUGUGUUAAGAACCCACCAACCGUAGGGUGUGACAAUAUCACUACUUGAGGAGCCCAACCCCGGAUCAAAAGUCCUCUCCCUUCAAUCCUUUCCU